Molecule: ribosomal RNA, 446 nt
Filed under: uncultured bacterium
Lineage: Bacteria
Description: partial 16S ribosomal RNA
Rfam family: Bacterial small subunit ribosomal RNA
Source: RNAcentral
AACGAACGCUGGCGGCAGGCUUAACACAUGCAAGUCGAACGCCCCGCAAGGGGAGUGGCAGACGGGUGAGUAACGCGUGGGAACGUACCCUUCGCUUCGGAAUAGCCCCGGGAAACUGGGUGUAAUACCGGAUACGCCGUAUUGGGAAAGAUUUAUCGGCGAAGGAUCGGCCCGCGUUGGAUUAGCUAGUUGGUGGGGUAAUGGCCUACCAAGGCGACGAUCCAUAGCUGGUCUGAGAGGACGAUCAGCCACACUGGGACUGAGACACGGCCCAGACUCCAACGGGAGGCAGCAGUGGGGAAUCUUGGACAAUGGGGGCAACCCUGAUCCAGCCAUGCCGCGUGAGUGAAGAAGGCCUUAGGGUUGUAAAACUCUUUCGCCGGUGAAGAUAAUGACGGUAACCGGAGAAGAAGCCCCGGCUAACUUCGUGCCAGCAGCCGCAGUAA